UACGGGGGGGGCAAGCGUUGUUCGGAAUUACUGGGCGUAAAGGGCUCGUAGGUGGCCAACUAAGUCAGACGUGAAAUCCCCAGGCUCAACUUGGGAACUGCGUCUGAUACUGGAUGGCUUGAAUUCGGGAGAGGGAUGCAGAAUUCCAGGUGUAGCGGUGAAAUGCGUAGAUAUCUGGAGGAAUACCAGUGGCGAAGGCGGCCUUCUGGACGGAUACUGACGCUGAGGCGCGAAAGCCAGGGGAGCAAACGGG
Molecule: ribosomal RNA, 253 nt
Filed under: uncultured bacterium
Lineage: Bacteria
Description: partial 16S ribosomal RNA
Rfam family: Bacterial small subunit ribosomal RNA
Source: RNAcentral